GCCCAACUGGGCAGAGGGGUCCUCCUCUCAUCAUCUCUGGCUGCAAUUCCUCAGAUGCUCCGUGGGCUGGCUGGAAAAUGUAUGGACUUGUUUGCAGACCACCUUAGCCCUGAUGAUUUGGGCUUGAACUACCUGGAAAAUGAAGUGCCUCACGUUUAUGAGGAGAAGGCAUUUAAGUGCCUCACCAGUGAGAAGUGCCACUGACUU
Pogoniulus pusillus (Red-fronted tinkerbird) is the source of this 207-nucleotide long non-coding RNA. RefSeq lists it as uncharacterized. The transcript has 3 exons. The record is from RefSeq and is a predicted model, not a curated record. Lineage: Eukaryota; Metazoa; Chordata; Aves; Piciformes; Lybiidae.